Molecule: long non-coding RNA, 1109 nt
Filed under: Homo sapiens (human)
Lineage: Eukaryota; Metazoa; Chordata; Mammalia; Primates; Hominidae
Description: HSALNT0340534
Rfam family: mir-3943 microRNA precursor family (bases 519-602)
Source: RNAcentral
AUUUUAUUUUAUUUUAGAUUGAGUCUCACUCUGCCACCCAGACAGGAGUGCAGUGGUGCAAUGUCAGCUCGGUGCAACCUCUGCUUCCUGGGUUCAAGUGAUUCUUAUGCCUCAGCCUCCUGAGUAGCUGGGAUUAUAGGCACCUGCCAUCAUGCCUGGCUAAUUUUUGUAUUUUCAGUAAAGAUGGGGUUUCACCAUUCUGGCCAGGCUUGUUUUGAACUCCUGACCUCAAGUGAUCCACCUGCCUUGGCCUCCCAAAGUGCUGGGAUUACAGGCAUGAGCCACUGCAUCAGGCCUGGAUCAGCAUUUUAAAGAUGGCGUCACAAUGGCAAAGAAACCAGUCAGUGCUUUGUGAUCCUCCGCCCAGUACAGGCACAGCAGGGCAUCCAGAGAAGAUAGGAGUCCCAAGUUGACACCUGCCACAUUCUUGGCUCAGAACAGCUGUGGCUGGGAAGGUCCAUGGGCCAGGGAGCGGGUGAUGAAGGACUUCAGCAUCUUUAUCAGCGCCCCCCCACACAGACGGCAGCUGCGGCCUAGCCCCCAGGCUUCACUUGGCGUGGACAACUUGCUAAGUAAAGUGGGGGGUGGGCCACGGCUGGCUCCUACCUGGACAGGCCUCCAGCUAACUCCGGGCUUGCACAGCAAAUACAAGAAAAAAAGAAACAGAAAAAUCAGUUCAUGUGCCCUUUCCUGACUUCUCCUGGCACCUACAGCCCUGACUGCAGAGAUGGUCCCGUGGUCCCAAGACAGAGGCUGGAGAAGUGAGUGGAGCCAAGAGGCAGAAAGAUCUCAGUAAUUUGGAAAAAAUUCCCAACUGGGUGCAGCUGGCUACACCUUUUCUUCCCCAGAUGAAGAACAUGAGUCUUAGAGAAGUCAAAGAAGUUGCCUAAGGUCACAUGAGCAGUGAGCAGAGGAGUUGCUUACCUUUGUUAGACUCCAAAUCCUGUGUGACUAUGAAACUCAUUAACUGAAACAACCCGGCACCUUUGGACCUGUGCAGGCAAAGGCAAGGGAGUUGACCAGGAGCACACAGCACAGACGAGAACAGUCCCAAAGCCUUUUGCUGUAUCCCAUCUGUGCAAACCACUCCCAAUAAACAAACAAACACA